GCCCCGUUUUGAAUAUCCAAGAUGGCUGCUCUGUAGAGACAACUUUUACAGCUCAAUUGUUUGAAUGUACUCAUAAAAUGUAAACAAACAAAUGUUAGCCGUUCAGCUUCUGCCCAGUGAUUCAUGUACGAUAUAUAAUUAUAUCUCCAAGAUUUGACACUUGUGCGAUAAGUAAAAGUCGCCUAAAACGUUUAAUAUAUUGUUGAUGUGGACAAGACAGUUGGUGUUUACAUUGGUUUUUAAGUCCAAAGUGUUGUGUAUUUCGAGUGAUAUGUGUUGUAAGUGAAGGAAAGAGUGCAAUAUAAGUCAGGAUAUAACUAUACACCAGUGAAACACCAUCUUCUCAAGCACAAUUACCACAAGGGUGUGUAAUGAUGGCUCGGCUUGGUGGGGAGGGAAGGUAGCAGCGGCAUGUCACUGGUGGUACACAAGCUGGUGCUUAGUCCUGGUGGGGCCACCACCAACACACAGCCUCCCACCCAUCAUGUCACCCUCUCUGCUUACACGCACCCUCGGUCAAAUGUUUCAGACACUAUGGGUCGAGUGUUGGAUGGCCCAUCCAGUGGUUCCAUGAGCACACCACCCUCUUCCUCUUCUCCCUACUCAACCUCCUCAUCCUCAUCUUCCUCUUCGAAGCACAGUUCUACAUAUAAUUUACCCUUUGUGCUUCAAGACCAUAAUUAUGGUGCUCCUCCUCCUCCAACUCCACCUCAGUCCCCACCUCCCCUACCAUCUUCAUCAGGAUCAUCUGUGUACCACCACCCCUCUCAAUACUUGCAUCAACCCCAUCACCAGCACAACCCCCAGCCUCACCAGUCUAAUCAUCCUCACAGUUUACAGCAACAUACCCAACAAAAUACAAAUAAUCUAUAUCAUUCUCAACACAAACAGCAAUACCAUAAUCACCCUCAGCAAGCCACCUCUCAUGUCAAUCCUUCCCCUAGACUAGGGAUUAUUACUUCAUCAGGUCCUUCUGUCUCCGUGUCUGGCUUGUUGACUUCUCAUCCAAUUAAUACAAUGCCACCUCACCGCCAACAAUUUAUGCCACACCCUAAGACAAGCAUUUUCCCAUCACCUCACAUCCCCCCACCUCCAGUAGAGUUACACCAGUCCCCACCUACCAUCACAGGCCCCCCAUCCUCAACCACUGGGGCAGAAACAGAUGAUGAUUCACGUAUGAGUGAUCGAAGUUCAUCUGUUGGACCAUCUGGAGAAGAAACUGAAACUGCACCUGAGGGAGAAGGUGAUGAACAACCUGUAGAUGACUCCAUUACUCGAUGUGUCUGUGAUUUUUCCCAUGAUGAUGGAUACAUGAUCCAGUGUGAUAGAUGUUUUGUCUGGCAACAUGUAGACUGCAUGGAAAUAGACCGGGACAAUAUUCCUGAUGAGUACCUGUGUGAAGCAUGUGAUCUUAGACCUAUAGAUCGCUUCAAAGCUCGAGCACUGCAGAUUCGCAGAAGACAAGAAAUUAAGGCUCACCUUGCCAGUUCUUUCCGUUUUAGAUUGUCUUCUUCAGACUCUGACGACAAUAUCCCAAUGUCUAGUAAAGGGCGAGGAACUUUAGGGAAGAUUCCAGAAAGAAAGGUUGUAAAGAAAAAGAAGGUGAAACAAAUAAAAGACAUGAAGAAUGGACGCAAGGGUUCACUGUCGCUGUUGAAGAAAAGUAAUGUUGUCACCACUAGCAACAACAAUAUAAUUCCAGGCAUGGAAGAUAAGGAAAGAAGAAUGCUUGUAAAAAGAAGACGGAAAAGCAGUAGUAUGAGUGGUGGAGAAGGUGUAAGUGAUGACUCCAACAGUGGUCCAGUUGAGAGACUACGGGCAUGGGUAGAGGGCUAUGAGGUGGCAGUUACAAACCACUAUUCCCCAGAACUUCGUGCCAGGGUUCAUGCUGCUCGCAUUAAUGGCGUGUCUCCUGACUUAAGAGCUUCCACACAAGGAGCAGUUCUGGGUCACCGGUGCAAAGUUGUUGAGAAUCCCCAUCCACUCUUUGAUGUGUUUGAUUGUAAGAUUCUCGUAGCAGCUACCAGAUUAUGUAUAAAUACAGCCAUCACAGAGUUCCAAGGCAAGUACCUGUUGGCGUCACAAUGGAAUGCCCAGCAACCGGUGUCAGGCCAACCGUACCUGCCAUAUGUCUUACAGUACCACAUGCCGAAGGAGGGCCUCACCGUUUGUGUCGAUGCACGAACCUAUGGUAAUGAUGCCAGGUUCACGCGAAGAUCUUGUACACCUAAUGCUGAGGUACGACAUGUGGUAGAAAGAGGAUCCCUUCAUUUAUAUUUAGUUGCAACAAGAGAUAUUGAGGAGGGUGAAGAGGUCACUUUAGCCUUGGAGACUGCGAAUUCCAACCUGGAACUGAUGUGUUGCUUGUCAGAAGAGCAUGACUGCCAAGCUCCCCAGCCUUCAAAAGUUGAACAGACUUCUCCAGUGCCUACAACCCCUCAUAAGAAAAAUGGCCUCAUCCUGAGCAACAAGAAAACAUUUAAAAAGCAGCAGUUACAGCUACAACUCCGCACUAGUAAAAGAACCACAUCUACAGAAAGCCGCAAUAGUGAUAAUGUUAUCACACCCAGUGUAAAUAGUACUCCAGUAACGCCUCUUAAACAGAGACGGGCAUCAGGAUGUGGCAAAUCUCCUGCAAAGUCUCCUAGUGCAUCUGUAUCAAGUUCACCAGAAGACAGCGGGAAAGAUUCAACUCUCAACACACCACCAACAGCUGCAACUACUCCUGAAAUGCCUAAAUGUAUAGACAAACAGCAGCAACAGAAGAUGACACGUGAAGAGCGCAAAAUAGCUGCCUACAUGAAAGCCUUUGAACGAAUGGAGAAAGCUGCUCAACGAAGACAGGAGAUGGAAAAAAAGAAGGAGGAAGAUAAAGUCAAAGACCCAAAGGAUAAGGAUAAAAAACGUUGUGAUGGAGAGGAGGAGGACUGGGAGAAAACUAGUAGUGCUGAUGAGAGCGUGAGAAAUACACCUGGUGCUGAGCGUAGUAGACGUAAAGGAAAAAAAGGAAGAGGAAAGGGUAGUCCUCAGAAACGUACCAGUCAUCGUGUAGAUUCUACAGCAUCAGAUCUGACUGGAGAUGAAAGUAGCUGUGCUUCAGUAGGACUGAUGUCUCCCUUAGGGGCAUCCAUCGAGGGGAUUGCUCUUAACUUCAAUUCACCACCACAGGGGAGUUCUAAUGCUAUGGGAUUUAGAUUCCCUAAAACGAAGAAAGCACUUAUGAAUGAAUGGUUGAAUGAAAAUGUUGACCCAGUGCUCCCAGGUGGGAACAUAACCGGUGUUGCAGAACUUCCCUCUGGAGUACCAACCUGCUACAUGAGAUCACCAGCUACUCCUUUGAGAAGAUCUUCUGUAAACCAAUCAGUAAUACAGGGAACUAUUCUCAACUUGGAAAUGCCUGGUGGUUCUGCAAAGAAAAGAUGGUUAAGACAGGCCAUUAGUGAAGAAACUGAGUCACCUCAGUUCAAUGGCCUCUGCCCCAGUCCAAAUAGUAGACCAGACUCGCCUACUGGUGGCGGAGACUAUAUCACCCCUCUGAAGAAGAGAAGACUGGCUCGAGAAUCCAUGUCUUCUGAACUGUCAUCCACUCCACCCUCCACCCCCGUCCACUCCACCAGUUUGGAGGAGGAUAAAAUGAUUGAGGAGAUGGAAGCAGAGCUGGCUGAGGAAGCUGUAUCCAAGUUAAAACAAGAAGAUGGUAAUUAUUCAGAAGAUCCAGCAUGUCUUAUGAUUCAUGGAGUAAACCCUAGUGAGUUCCAUAAUACUAAAGACAGUUCUGCUAAAAUUAAGGAAAUGGUUAAUGAAGGAAAUGAAGAACUGAUUGCUGAAGAGGAUAAACAUUUUUUUGAUAGAAAUAUUAGGGAAAUAGAUAAGAAUGGAUUAUAUAGUGAAUUUCAAGAGGAUAUGCCAGGGACCAAAAUUAAAAAGGCAGAAGAAAUGUUGAAAAGAAAUGCAGUUCGUGAUUGUACUCUAAAGACAAGAUAUUCUGUUGGUUUUUCAGUGACAAAGACUUUAAAAGAAGAAAGUGAACAAGAGGACAAUGACAAUGAAGGGGUGGGUGAGAGAAAUGAACAAAUGGGGUUAAGAAGAGGGAGAAAAUACCAGCAAGAGACCAAGAGAGAGAGAAGGCAGCACAUAAUCAACAGAGAAAGAAAACAACAAGUGCCAAAGAGAGAAAGAAGGCAACAAUGUACUAAGAAAGGCAAGAGCUACCAGAUGGAAACCAAAUGCGAGAGAAAUCCACAGAGACAGGUGAAAAAAAAGAGAGGUCAGCUGGUUGUAAUAAAGGUGAGAGAGGAAAGACAAGAAAUAAAGGAAGAAGCCAAGCAAGAAAAGAAAAAGGAAUUUAACAAGUUGGAAAUUAAGGAAGAAAUAAAACAGAAACUAAAGAAAGCAACAGAUAGACUAGAAACACAGAUUGAUAUAGAAAAAGAGACUGUAAAGAAAGAAGUAGAGGAACAAGAACUGAGAGAUAAAAUUGAUGUCAGAGAAAUAGGGAAAGAAACAGAAGAACACAAGGUAACGAUAGACAAGGCAAUAGAAGUGAGAAAAGAGAAAAAUGUAUCAAAGGAGGUGGGAGAAAAAAUAGAGGAAGAAGUAAAGUUAGAAAGGGUUGAAAUGUUAAGUGAAAAGGAAAGCCAACUGGAGGAAACCUUGCCAGAAAAUGAAAGCAAGGACAUAAAGAGAAUAGACAAGCAACCAGAAGAAGUAAAAAUUGAAGAAAACCAAGAAAUUGAAGGAAAGAUAACGAACCAAGGGGAAGGUAAUGUAAGCCAGGAUAAGGAAAAAAAUAAGAGAGAGAAAGAUAAGAAAACUGGCAAAAAAACUAAAGUUGUACAUAGUGUAAAAAGAGAGAAAGAUGAACAAGAGGAACUAAAGGAAGAUGCUAAGGUUGAUGUUCAGGGUGACACCAUUGAACAGCUGCCCCAAGUAAGUGAGACAAGUGAUCAAGAUUGUGUGAAAGAAGAACUCCCUGCUCAGCCAAAGUUAGACGGAACACAGCGAUCCUCACCAAGAAGAAGAAGAGUAAAAAUUUGUCCAAAAGAAUUAAAGCAAGUAUUGACAGAAGUAAAGUAUACACAACAAAAUUUGAAUAAAGAAUGUGGUAAAGUAGAAAAACAAAAGAAAGGAGAAGAGGAGCAGCAGAUGGUAAAGAGUGAGGUAGAGCAACAUGUGGUUGUCAAGACUGAGGAAAGUCAAGUGCAGUGUGUAAAUCAAGAUAAAAAUGAACACUUGGAUACAAAGAAUGAUGAAGAACCAGUGACAGAAGUAGAGGAAUCUAACCUUCAAACUGUGGGUGAAAAUGCUAUAACACAAGACAUUAUAACUGAAAAAUAUGAAGAACAAGAGUCAAAUACUAAGAAUGAUAAAGACUUAGUGAUAAAGAUUAAAAAUGAAGAACCAGAAGAAGAAGCAAGGGAAGAUGAAAAACAGGAUAAUGAUUUUGGAGAACUUGGUGAUUUAAGAAAUAGUGUUAAAUAUGAAAGAAAAGUGUUGGACAAAGAUCUCAAAACUAAUACUCCUCUUUCUGAAGAAACUCAACCCACAGAACUAAGAUGUCAAAGUCCAUUAGCUGUUACAACCUUUUUGUCAUUGAAGCAAAGUAAUAGCUCAGAGAUAGAUGAAGAGAUGCCAAAGAGACAUGAAACUAGAUCUCCUGAGAGCCCAAGACCUAUUUCACCUGAAUUGAGAGGACCCCAUACUCCAGAUGGACCUGCUCCAACUACCCCUGAUGAGUCAGAAGUAUCCCCACAAAGUCCCGGAUCACCAAUACAUUGUCAGAGAAACCCUUCACCAGCCCAGGAAGUUGAAGCAGAAAGGGAGAGAACUCUUGAGGGGGAAAGCCUUUCAGAGAGAAGAUCACGAUCACGAACAAGAGGGCCUUGUACACCCCCAUCUCCUCCACCUUCAAUGCAGGAGGAAAAUGCUGAUGAUGAACGACAAGAUGGGGAGGCUUCCAAUAAGUCUUCAUCACAGCCAACACUACAAGAAGAGCCAAAACCUGCACCUAUUAAAAGGAAGUUAUCGAUCUUGGAGUACCGCAAGAGGAAAAGUGUGAGCAGUGAGGGUGAUAAUAGAGGAUUAAGUGGACCAUCAGACUCAUCACCACCACGUUCCUUAUCACUUACAUGUUCCACAGUAUUGUCUGCUCCUUGCGCAGACUCUUCUUUCUCAUCUAAUCCUUCCUGUUCCUCCAAUAUAUCAACACGAGAACCCUCUAUUUCUCCUACAUAUUUCUCUCCAUCAAAGUUGGCUCAGACUGAAGCUGAUGAAUCUUCCCCAGAUCUUGCACUCUCUCCUAUACAACCACUUAUGAUCACCCCAUUAUCCAUUGUCCUUGAUAGCAAAUCUACCAAAGAUGAAGUUAAAAAUGAUGCAGAGAGUAACAACAACAAUAAUGGAGGAGGUAGCAUUAAUGACAACAGCAAACACGGCAUCAAGAGUAGUAAUAAUAGUGUAAACAAUAGUUGUAGUAGUACCACCAUCACCACAGUUGCAACAAAUGCUUUAACUACAACUAACAGUAUAGCAGUCACAAACACUGCUGGAACAACUACAAGUACCCCACUUACUACCAUCACUAGUAAUGCCACAUCUCAGGAUGUGAAAUGGAAUGCAGCACCCACACUUCUGGAACGCCAGAGAGAAAAUUUAACAGCGAGACUACGGCGGGAAUUUGGAUUAUGUAUAUCUGAUGAUGAUGAAGAUAAAUCAGGGUUGCGGCUGGGGUGUACAAGUUUGAUAGGACGUCCGUCACCUCCCCUGCUUCCCCCACCCGCCCCUUUGGUCUCUUCCUCCUCCUCCCCCUUGUCUCCACGUGUCCGUAAACUUUCGGGGCUACAGCCUGGGCCAGAUGAUUCUCACUGUUGAUUCAUUGACAGAAUAACGCCAUCCUACUGCAGCAAACGAUUCCCCAUCUUCAACUGAGAGAUGGCGAGGAUCGUGAUAGAAAUCACCGUCGUCACAAGGAAAAGAACUUACCACCACCACCACCUCCACCAACAGCAC
Molecule: unclassified non-coding RNA, 7008 nt
Filed under: Homarus americanus (American lobster)
Lineage: Eukaryota; Metazoa; Arthropoda; Malacostraca; Decapoda; Nephropidae
Description: uncharacterized LOC121868730, transcript variant X8
Source: RNAcentral